RNAcentral lists this ribosomal RNA (253 nucleotides) under uncultured bacterium. Its description in RNAcentral is "partial 16S ribosomal RNA". It matches the Rfam family "Bacterial small subunit ribosomal RNA", at positions 524 to 776 of the family's 1533-position model. The record is from RNAcentral.
UACGAGGGGGGCAAAUGUUGUUCGGAAUUACUGGGCGUAAAGGGCGCGUAGGUGGCCUUCUAAGUCAGACGUGAAAUCCCCGGGCUCAACCCGGGAACUGCGUCUGAUACUGGAAGGCUCGAAUCCGGGAGAGGGAUGUGGAAUUCCAGGUGUAGCGGUGAAAUGCGUAGAUAUCUGGAGGAACACCGGUGGCGAAGGCGGCAUCCUGGACCGGUAUUGACGCUGAGGCGCGAAAGCCAGGGGAGCAAACGGG